This is a non-coding RNA of Vicugna pacos (alpaca), 360 nucleotides long. The record is from RefSeq and is a predicted model, not a curated record. Lineage: Eukaryota; Metazoa; Chordata; Mammalia; Artiodactyla; Camelidae.
GCGGAAGGAGCUCACUGCCGCAGGCCUGGAGUUUCCCAGGCACGGAUGCGGCAGGUGGGGGCAAGAGCCUCAGGCCGAUGUGAAUCACCUGCUGAGGAAGUUCUCACCUCUGUGGUCUGUGUGCUUCUCUAAGAGGGAAACCCUGAAGAGUAUUGACAAGUACUGAAGCAUUUUUAACCAUGGCUUUGGGAUGGGUAACAUUCAGGAAAGCAGCCCUAGACUUCUCUCAAGAGGAAUGGGAAUAUCGGGUUCUGCUCUGAGGGAGUUGUACUGGGAUGUGGUGAUGGAGAACAGCAAGUUGGUCCCACGGGGUAAGCUGUCUACCUCAAAUAAUUUAAAUAUUCUCUCUGGAAUAUCAAG